UACAGAGGUCUCAAGCGUUGUUCGGAUUCAUUGGGCGUAAAGGGUGCGUAGGCGGCUCGGUAAGUCGGGUGUGAAAUCUUGGAGCUUAACUCCGAAACUGCAUUCGAUACUGCCGUGCUUGAGGACUGGAGAGGAGACUGGAAUUUACGGUGUAGCGGUGAAAUGCGUAGAUAUCGUAAGGAAGACCAGUGGCGAAGGCGGGUCUCUGGACAGUUCCUGACACUGAGACACGAAAGCCAGGGGAGCAAACGGG
RNAcentral lists this ribosomal RNA (253 nucleotides) under uncultured bacterium. Its description in RNAcentral is "partial 16S ribosomal RNA". It matches the Rfam family "Bacterial small subunit ribosomal RNA", at positions 524 to 776 of the family's 1533-position model. The record is from RNAcentral.